RNAcentral lists this transfer RNA (72 nucleotides) under Bos grunniens (domestic yak). RNAcentral describes it as "tRNA-Gln". The record is from RNAcentral. Lineage: Eukaryota; Metazoa; Chordata; Mammalia; Artiodactyla; Bovidae.
CUAGAAUUAUAGGAAUUGAACCUACUCCUAAGAAUCCAAAACUCUCCGUGCUCCCAAUUACACCAAAUUCUA